This 212-nucleotide long non-coding RNA is filed under the name Mytilus galloprovincialis (Mediterranean mussel). Lineage: Eukaryota; Metazoa; Mollusca; Bivalvia; Mytilida; Mytilidae. The record is from RNAcentral.
GGAUCAUUGAAAGGCUAGAUGUCAGAAGACAAAAGAUGGGUUUUAGUAGUUUUCUCUAUGAAGAUGACAAUGAAACGAAGUGUCUUGCCGACAGAAAUGCUUCUGUAGAGACUAAUAAGGAUACUUUCCAUCUAUCCCUUGUAAGCAUGGAGAAGCAGAUAUACGAAUUUUUGUCCAUGUUCGGCCUGAGUAUGAAAAUUGUUGUAGGACGG